AAGACAACGUUAGCACCUGUCAGCUUUAAUUGUGGAUAAAUCUGGAUCAUUUUGAGCUUUUGUCAAACUGACAAAAACAACUGUCAAACUGACAAAAACAACUGUCACCGAACUGACAGUUCGGUGAACUGUCCACGACCCCUAUGGCACGUCUUCAGACCUCCGCCGACUCUCGAGUGCAGACGCUGUAGAGUCAAGUGCCAUAAAGACCACAUCGAUCGCAAAGAAGAGGUCCUCGCUCCAUGUAGAGUGAAUUACGACAUGUCCACAGCGAAAGAGAUGCUGCUGCUGGCAAACUCCACAGAGGAGCAGAAGAAGUGGGUCAGUCGGCUGCUCAAAAGGGUUCCGCGUAAGCCCUCCAUCGCCCACUCGUCCAGCAUAGCCAUAUCCGCUGCGCCCUCAGAGGCAACACCCACUACCCUUUCCCCUCAGCCGUCGCCUCGCCUCGCUCAGUCUUCACCCAGACUUUCACACCGAGCAGCCGUCAAAGUGCACUCUACACGACAGCAGCCCUCCAGCAAGAACAGCCCUGGCCCAAUGCUCCGUAUCAUUCUUCACUGACCUUUCACCUUCCCUACUCGUGUAAAUGUGUGGACAAUUGCUUGAAAUGGGCCUGAAGGACUGGGGUUGGGCUCUUGAGGUUGAAUUGGAUGAUGACGAUGUUUUAGACUUCUGAAAACUUGAGGUUUUUGAGGGGUGACCAGCGUGUGGCUUGAGGAUGCAUUUAUAUCUCUAACCUUGGUGAAGGCCGGAUAGGUGAUCAUGCAUCUGGGGUCUAUGAAAGCGGAAAAUGUCAUAGUGUUCAUUUGGGCUAAUGGCAGGACUUCCAAGUGCCAAACACCACAAUAUAAAUGACUGGGGAAGGGGACGGUAUAUGAUAUUUAAAUACAGCACAAGCCAUAAAUCACCUAAAGUAUCUAGUUUCAAUUUUAAGUCAUUUUAAGAGUAGAGUGUUUGUGUUUUCCUAUACUAUACAGUUUGACAAAAAGUGUCUUCUAAGCUUUUAAAAAUGUCAGAGGUUAUUUUCGGACUCCUUAUAGGGUUGUUAGUAAGUGUGACUGGAUGUUUAAGUGUGUUUCCAAGAGCAAAUGAAUGAUAAUUACGAGAUCAUCAGGAUUUAUAUAAUCAAGUAUUAUAUCUAUUUUUGUUCAGAAAAACAAAUAUUUAGUGGCACAGAUUAUAUUUUUGUCAUCUUUUAUUUUGAAGAACACCUUCAAUAAGCAUUACGUCUGCUCUAUGUAUUAUUGAAGACUGAUAUCAUGAUGCAAAGAUGCACAUUUUAUUAAAUGCUGUGACAAAUUUGUAUGCAUAGUGGAACAUGAAGACCUACGGUCCAAACAUUUUCUUUAUUUUAUUAUUUUGUGAAAUUGUUUAUAAAAAAGCUUUAUUUGAUUGAA
Danio rerio (zebrafish) is the source of this 1397-nucleotide non-coding RNA. NCBI's taxonomy places the organism in Eukaryota, Metazoa, Chordata, Actinopteri, Cypriniformes, Danionidae. The record is from RefSeq and is a predicted model, not a curated record.